Sparus aurata (gilthead seabream) is the source of this 107-nucleotide small nuclear RNA. Lineage: Eukaryota; Metazoa; Chordata; Actinopteri; Spariformes; Sparidae. The record is from Ensembl.
GUGCUUGCUCAGGCAGCACGUAUGAUAAAUUGGAAUCAAUACAGAGAAGAUUAGCAUGGCCCCUGCAAAAGGAUGACACGCAAAUCCAUGAAGAAUUUCCACAUUUU